This 484-nucleotide ribosomal RNA is filed under the name uncultured bacterium. Its description in RNAcentral is "partial 16S ribosomal RNA". It matches the Rfam family "Bacterial small subunit ribosomal RNA", at positions 28 to 523 of the family's 1533-position model. The record is from RNAcentral.
GACGAACGCUAGCGGCGUGCUUAACACAUGCAAGUCGAACGAUGAAGCCGGAGCUUGCUCUGGUGAAUUAGUGGCGAACGAGUGAGUAACACGUGAGUAACCUGCCCUUGACUCUGGGAUAACUGCGGGAAACUGUAGCUAAUACCGGAUACGACCCUCGGAGGCAUCUCCUGGGGGUGGAAAGAAUUUCGGUCAAGGAUGGACUCGCGGCCUAUCAGCUAGUUGGGGAGGUAAAGGCUCACCAAGGCGACGACGGGUAGCCGGCCUGAGAGGGUGACCGGCCACACUGGGACUGAGACACGGCCCAGACUCCUACGGGAGGCAGCAGUGGGGAAUAUUGCACAAUGGGCGCAAGCCUGAUGCAGCAACGCCGCGUGAGGGAUGACGGCCUUCGGGUUGUAAACCUCUUUUAGCAGGGAAGAAGCGAAAGUGACGGUACCUGCAGAAAAAGCACCGGCUAACUACGUGCCAGCCGCCGCCGUAA